Molecule: long non-coding RNA, 1724 nt
Filed under: Mus musculus (house mouse)
Lineage: Eukaryota; Metazoa; Chordata; Mammalia; Rodentia; Muridae
Description: long non-coding RNA chr11:105315099-105316823
Source: RNAcentral
UGUGCUCUUCCACGUGGAUGAUAUGCUUGUAUGAUUCAAAUAUAUGAGCACUGGGUGCCGUGUGUGUUUGUGUGUGUGUGUGUGUGUGUAUGUGUGUGUGUGUGUGUGUGUGUGUGUGUGUGUGUGAUGUGUGGUGUGUGUGUGUGGUGUGUGUGUGUGUGUGAGACUGUGUGUGUGUGUUUGUGUGGGACUGUGGGUGUAUAUGUGUGUGUGUCUGUGUGUGUGUUGCUGGCAAUUGAACACUGGGUUGUGUACUUGUUAAGCCACUUAUAAUACAGUUACAUCCCUGAUCCUGAAAUUCCUCACAAACAUUUGUUAAAUGGAUACAUGACUCACACCCAGCCAAGGCCCGGUGCCCAGGUCACUGAGGCGCUUCAAUUACUUCUGCAUUCAUUCGUCCCUACGCAGCUGCAACGUGACAGCUAGCACUGUCCCAGGCAUGAGCUGAUUCUCAGCAAGAAUACAAGUAGUCACUCUGCGCUGGGCAGGACCAUCUGAGAUCCUAGCAAGAGCAGGAGGCUGAAGUCUGGGGAUGGGCAUUUUCACACUCGACACUGGCAGCCUGUACCCCCAAGCGUGUGGGUGUACUUGGGUAUGAAUGAGGCUGGAGGGGCCCUUUGGGGACAUAAGACCUCUGCACCUUGAGUCCCCUCUUGCCUGAUCCAUAGGAGCUUGAUGAGGGCACGGAUUCAAAGGAAUGGGAGCAGCUCUCAGCAAGUCUGCAUAGUCUUCCCUCCCUGAUUGGCAGUUUCUGCUCCACCAAGGCUGUGUCCGUCCUCUCUCCGAGAGCCCUUGACUUGGCUGAGUCUCGGAGAGCCUCCUCCGGGAACUCUCUCCGCCUUGUUCUUUGCUCUUUAGCUCUCCCAGGCCUUUGUUCCUCAUCUACGACCUGUUCUCAGUCACUAACACAGUAGCUCAUGACCUGCAUUCCUGCCCUCUGCCUCCAGAUCCCGAGAGUCCUCAGAGCUCUGCCCUGAGCUGCCUUUCUGACUCCAAGAAGGCAACAGAUUCCUCUCAGACACACAGCCAGACACUUGGAAUUUAAGGGCUUGUCUUUCUCUAACUGGAUUACAAAUCCCAAGAGAGCAAAGGCGGUGGUGGGAGCUGGGAAUUUCCCUGGGUCCAUCUUGCCUGAAUAUUCUGUGUACUGUAGCAAGGGCUCCAAGAAGUUAGAUGGAUCUGAACCCAGGACUAGGGUGGUCAUAGGAGGCCUGCAACCUUGUCUCGCGGGAUAGGAGGGAACUCAGGUCUUGAAGGGCGCUGUGGUUGGGCAUCCCAGCUCCUUCUCUGGGUUUCAGUUUUCCCUAUUAUCAAGUGAAAGGGGCUUGGAGUGGUCUUUGCUAACCAGUAUGGGCUCUUCUGAUUCUUCCAUUGGACAUGAAUUAUCACAAUUUAAGUCUGACUAGGAUUGGGCUGGCAGACAUGUGGUCAUCUGUCUGGGAACAAGAGAAAGAUACUGUCCCUCUGGGAGCCCAAACCAGACAGAAGUUUUGAGACUCACUGUCCCGUCCUAUCUCCAAAAAUCAUGUAUAAAAGCAAGCCAUAUUUUCUCUCUUUUUCGGUCCCAGCUAUGAUCACUUUCAUUUGCUGCUGCUGUCUUCCCUGGAGUGGAGUGGAAUUUUAGAGAAGAAAAUAGCCAACUUGGGGGUUGUGAUGAUGGUUUAGUGGGUAGGAGUGUUUUCUGUGUAAGUGCAAGGACGUGAGUUUAAUCUCCUGUGUCCAUG